AAAUCCGGAGAGCUGGUUGCUU
This 22-nucleotide unclassified non-coding RNA is filed under the name synthetic construct. The record is from RNAcentral.